Molecule: long non-coding RNA, 247 nt
Filed under: Gossypium barbadense (sea-island cotton)
Lineage: Eukaryota; Viridiplantae; Streptophyta; Magnoliopsida; Malvales; Malvaceae
Description: long non-coding RNA (GBAR_LNC014234)
Source: RNAcentral
GGGAACAAGAAUCAAAUCCGAUGUUUUUUCGUGGCUUGACUAGUUGCUCUGUUCUUCUUUCUCUGUUUUCCUCAUCGACCAAGGCUGCUAUGAACACUUAAUUGCUACUCCAAAUAGCUGAUGAAUGCCCCUUUCCCAAGAGGAGAAAUCGACAGAGCAAGGGAAUUUUGAAAUGGAAAAGAAGAGAGAAAGUGGAGAGAAGAGAGGAAAGAUGUGAAUGUUUGAGGUGUGUUUCUAAAAUGACCAG